RNAcentral lists this ribosomal RNA (429 nucleotides) under Chloroflexota bacterium. RNAcentral's name for it is "Chloroflexi bacterium partial 16S ribosomal RNA". It matches the Rfam family "Bacterial small subunit ribosomal RNA", at positions 355 to 776 of the family's 1533-position model. Lineage: Bacteria; Bacillati; Chloroflexota. The record is from RNAcentral.
UGGGGAAUAUUGCACAAUGGGCGCAAGCCUGAUGCAGCCAUGCCGCGUGUGUGAAGAAGGCCUUCGGGUUGUAAAGCACUUUCAGCGGGGAGGAAGGCGUUAAGGUUAAUAACCUUGGCGAUUGACGUUACCGACAGAAGAAGCACCGGCUAACUCCGUGCCAGCAGCCGCGGUAAUACGGAGGGUGCAAGCGUUAAUCGGAAUUACUGGGCGUAAAGCGCACGCAGGCGGUUGAUUGAGUCAGAUGUGAAAUCCCCGGGCUUAACCCGGGAAUUGCAUCUGAUACUGGCAAGCUUGAGUCUCGUAGAGGGGGGUAGAAUUCCAGGUGUAGCGGUGAAAUGCGUAGAGAUCUGGAGGAAUACCGGUGGCGAAGGCGGCCCCCUGGACAAAGACUGACGCUCGGGUGCGAAAGCGUGGGGGGCAAACAGG